RNAcentral lists this ribosomal RNA (778 nucleotides) under uncultured Neocallimastigales. RNAcentral describes it as "partial large subunit ribosomal RNA". It matches the Rfam family "Eukaryotic large subunit ribosomal RNA", at positions 23 to 640 of the family's 3401-position model. The record is from RNAcentral. Lineage: Eukaryota; Fungi; Neocallimastigomycota; Neocallimastigomycetes; Neocallimastigales.
AUAGAGACUCAGAGCUGCAUAUCAAUAAGCGGAGGAAAAGAAACUAACUAGGAUUCCCUUAGUAACGGCGAGUGAAGCGGGAAGAGCUCAAAUUUGAAAUCUUCAAGGUUCUACCUUGACGAAUUGUAGUUUAUAAGAAGUGUUUUCUGUUAGUGAGUGGCUAAAAGUUCUUUGGAAUAGGACAUCAUAGAGGGUGAGAAUCCCGUAUUUGAUCACUUUCUACUAACUUUGUGAUACACUUUCAAAGAGUCGGAUUGUUUGGGAAUGCAGUCCAAAAUGGGUGGUAAAUUUCAUCUAAAGCUAAAUACUGGCGAGAGACCGAUAGCGAACAAGUACCGUGAGGGAAAGAUGAAAAGAACUUUGAAAAGAGAGUUAAACAGUACGUGAAAUUGUCAAAAGGGAAGCGUUUGACACCAGUGUUGUUUACUCGAAAAUCAAUUAAAAAUGGUGGGAUGUUGUGUUGUAUUGACUUUAUCAGCUUUCUGCACUUUUUUUCCUAUCUUUUUUAAUGCACUUUUCGUUUAACAAGUCAACAUCAAUUUCUUUUGUUGUAAAAGAGUCAUUGGAAGGUGGCUUUCUUUUCGGAGAAAGUGUUUAUAGCCUUUGGCUUCUGCAAUCGGAGAGAUUGAGGUCUGCAGCGUAGAUCCUUCGGGGUUAGAUGCAUUUGUGCUAAGUUAUAGCCUUUCAUAGACAACUUGUUGACUAUGAUCAGUCAUGUAGCUUACUCGCUUAGUGUCAUUUUACCUACGCUUAGGAUGUUGAUAUGCAUGACUGAUAU